This 253-nucleotide ribosomal RNA is filed under the name uncultured bacterium. RNAcentral describes it as "partial 16S ribosomal RNA". It matches the Rfam family "Bacterial small subunit ribosomal RNA", at positions 524 to 776 of the family's 1533-position model. The record is from RNAcentral.
UACGAAGGGGGCUAGCGUUGUUCGGAAUCACUGGGCGUAAAGCGCACGUAGGCGGACUGAUAAGUCGGGGGUGAAAUCCCGGGGCUCAACCCCGGAACUGCCUUCGAUACUGUCAGUCUCGAGUCCGAGAGAGGUGAGUGGAAUUCCUAGUGUAGAGGUGAAAGUCGUAGAUAUUAGGAAGAACACCAGUGGCGAAGGCGGCUCACUGGCUCGGUACUGACGCUGAGGUGCGAAAGCGUGGGGAGCAAACAGG